RNAcentral lists this long non-coding RNA (203 nucleotides) under Trifolium pratense (red clover). Its description in RNAcentral is "long non-coding RNA (TPRA_LNC012507)". The record is from RNAcentral. Lineage: Eukaryota; Viridiplantae; Streptophyta; Magnoliopsida; Fabales; Fabaceae.
UCAACUUUGCAGUCAACAACAACUAUGUUGUAUAUCAUUCAUCUCUACUCAACUUUGCUGUAUAAUACCAGAAAAUCUUAUGCCCAUAAAAUUUCAAACUCAAAAUUUCAAUCUCAAGAUUCAUUAUUUUCAACCAUCUUCAACCUCCAGCGUGUUACUGAUGUCACCCGAAUUUUGACCCGCAUAUGUAUAUUAAAACCCGC